GGCUCAGGAAGCAAGAGAACCCUGUGGUCUAACCUUUCCCAUCUGCUCUCUUGUUCCCAG
MicroRNA precursor from Homo sapiens (human), 60 nucleotides. The record is from Ensembl. NCBI's taxonomy places the organism in Eukaryota, Metazoa, Chordata, Mammalia, Primates, Hominidae.